This 460-nucleotide ribosomal RNA is filed under the name uncultured bacterium. Its description in RNAcentral is "partial 16S ribosomal RNA". It matches the Rfam family "Bacterial small subunit ribosomal RNA", at positions 338 to 795 of the family's 1533-position model. The record is from RNAcentral.
CCUACGGGAGGCAGCAGUGAGGAAUAUUGGUCAAUGGGCGCUAGCCUGAACCAGCCAAGUAGCGUGAAGGAUGACUGCCCUAUGGGUUGUAAACUUCUUUUGUAUGGGAGUAAAGUGCAGUAUGUAUACUGCUUUGCAUGUACCUUAUGAAUAAGGAUCGGCUAACGCCGGGCCAGCAGCCGCGGUAAUACGGAGGAUCGGAGCGUUAUCCGGAUGUAUUGGGUUUAAAGGGAGCGUAGGCGGGUUGUUAAGUCAGGUGGGAAAGUUGGCGGCUCAACCGUAAAAUUGCAGUUGAUACUGGCAUCCUUGAGUACAGUAGAGGUAGGCGGAAUUCGUGGUGUAGCGGUGAAAUGCUUAGAUAUCACGAAGAACUCCGAUUGCGAAGGCAGCCUGCUGGACUGUAACUGACGCUGAUGCUCGAAAGUGUGGGUAUCAAACAGGAUUAGAUACCCCAGUAGUC